GACGAACGCUGGCGGCGUGCCUAAUACAUGCAAGUUGAGCGCUGAAGGUUGGUACUUGUACCGACUGGAUGAGCAGCGAACGGGUGAGUAACGCGUGGGGAAUCUGCCUUUGAGCGGGGGACAACAUUUGGAAACGAAUGCUAAUACCGCAUAAAAACUUUAAACACAAGUUUUAAGUUUGAAAGAUGCAAUUGCAUCACUCAAAGAUGAUCCCGCGUUGUAUUAGCUAGUUGGUGAGGUAAAGGCUCACCAAGGCGAUGAUACAUAGCCGACCUGAGAGGGUGAUCGGCCACAUUGGGACUGAGACACGGCCCAAACUCCUACGGGAGGCAGCAGUAGGGAAUCUUCGGCAAUGGACGAAAGUCUGACCGAGCAACGCCGCGUGAGUGAAGAAGGUUUUCGGAUCGUAAAACUCUGUUGGUAGAGAAGAACGUUGGUGAGAGUGGAAAGCUCAUCAAAUGACGGUAACUACCCAGAAAGGGACGGCUAACUACGUG
RNAcentral lists this ribosomal RNA (497 nucleotides) under uncultured bacterium. RNAcentral's name for it is "partial 16S ribosomal RNA". It matches the Rfam family "Bacterial small subunit ribosomal RNA", at positions 28 to 507 of the family's 1533-position model. The record is from RNAcentral.